GACGAACGCUGGCGGCGUGCUUAACACAUGCAAGUCGAACGGAAAGGCCCUGCUUUUGUGGGGUGCUCGAGUGGCGAACGGGUGAGUAACACGUGAGUAACCUGCCCUUGACUUUGGGAUAACUUCAGGAAACUGGGGCUAAUAUCGGAUAGGAGCUCCUGCUGCAUGGUGGGGGUUGGAAAGUUUCGGCGGUUGGGGAUGGACUCGCGGCUUAUGAGCUUGUUGGUGGGGUAGUGGCUUACCAAGGCUUUGACGGGUAGCCGGCCUGAGAGGGUGUCCGGCCACAUUAGGACUAAGAGACGGCCCAGAAGCCAACGGGAGGCAGCGGGGGGGAGUAUUGCACAAUGAGCGGAAGCCUGAGGCAGCAACGCCGGGUGCGGAAUGACGGCCUUCGGGUUGUGAACCGCUUUCGCCUGUGACGAAGCGUGAGUGACGGUAAUGGGUAAAGAAGCACCGGCUAACUACGUG
RNAcentral lists this ribosomal RNA (468 nucleotides) under uncultured bacterium. Its description in RNAcentral is "partial 16S ribosomal RNA". It matches the Rfam family "Bacterial small subunit ribosomal RNA", at positions 28 to 507 of the family's 1533-position model. The record is from RNAcentral.